GACGAACGCUGGCGGCGUGCUUAACACAUGCAAGUCGAACGGAAAGGCCCUGCUUUUGUGGGGUGCUCGAGUGGCGAACGGGUGAGUAACACGUGAGUAACCUGCCCUUGACUUUGGGAUAACUUCAGGAAACUGGGGCUAAUACCGGAUAGGAGCUCCUGCUGCAUGGUGGGGGUUGGAAAGUUUCGGCGGUUGGGGAUGGACUCGCGGCUUAUCAGCUUGUUGGUGGGGUAGUGGCUUACCAAGGCUUUGACGGGUAGCCGGCCUGAGAGGGUGACCGGCCACAUUGGGACUGAGAUACGGCCCAGACUCCUACGGGAGGCAGCAGUGGGGAAUAUUGCACAAUGGGCGGGAGCCUGAUGCAGCAACGCCGCGUGCGGGAUGACGGCCUUCGGGUUGUAAACCGCUUUCGCCUGUGACGAAGCGUGAGUGACGGUAAUGGGUAAAGAAGCACCGGCUAACUGCGUG
RNAcentral lists this ribosomal RNA (468 nucleotides) under uncultured bacterium. RNAcentral's name for it is "partial 16S ribosomal RNA". It matches the Rfam family "Bacterial small subunit ribosomal RNA", at positions 28 to 507 of the family's 1533-position model. The record is from RNAcentral.